UACGGAGGAUGCAAGCGUUAUCCGGAAUUAUUGGGUUUAAAGGGUCCGUAGGCUGAUAAAUAAGUCAGUGGUGAAAGUCUGUAGCUUAACUAUAGAAUUGCCAUUGAUACUGUUUAUCUUGAAUUACCGAGAAGUAAUUAGAAUGUGUAGUGUAGCGGUGAAAUGCAUAGAUAUUACACAGAAUACCGAUUGCGAAGGCAGGUUACUAUCGGUUAAUUGACGCUGAUGGACGAAAGCGUGGGUAGCGAACAGG
Molecule: ribosomal RNA, 253 nt
Filed under: uncultured bacterium
Lineage: Bacteria
Description: partial 16S ribosomal RNA
Rfam family: Bacterial small subunit ribosomal RNA
Source: RNAcentral